GAUGAACGCUAGCGGCAGGCUUAACACAUGCAAGUCGAGGGGUAUUGGUUUUCGGACCAAGAGACCGGCGCACGGGUGCGUAACGCGUAUGCAAUCUACCUUUUGCAGAGGGAUAGCCCAGAGAAAUUUGGAUUAAUACCUCAUAGUAUAGUACUUUGGCAUCAAGGAACUAUUAAAGUCACAACGGCAAAAGAUGAGCAUGCGUCCUAUUAGCUAGUUGGUAAGGUAACGGCUUACCAAGGCUACGAUGGGUAGGGGUUCUGAGAGGGAGAUCCCCCACACUGGUACUGAGACACGGACCAGACUCCUACGGGAGGCAGCAGUGAGGAAUAUUGGACAAUGGGCGCAAGCCUGAUCCAGCCAUGCCGCGUGCAGGAUGACGGUCCUAUGGAUUGUAAACUGCUUUUAUACAGGAAGAAACACUCCGACGUGUCGGAGCUUGACGGUACUGUAAGAAUAAGGAUCGGCUAACUCCGUGCCAGCAGCCGCGGU
RNAcentral lists this ribosomal RNA (492 nucleotides) under uncultured bacterium. RNAcentral describes it as "bacterial SSU rRNA". It matches the Rfam family "Bacterial small subunit ribosomal RNA", at positions 28 to 521 of the family's 1533-position model. The record is from RNAcentral.